CGCUCCCUGUAAUAUUCGCCAGGCAGCUCAGACCCCUGAGCCGAUGCGCACUACCCCGGGGGUUCCUCGCGUUAUUGGCGUGCAUGUCCGCAUGACGGGAAGCCCGAUGUUUCACAGGAACCACCAACUUGAACCGUAGGGUUCAAGGGCCACGCUGCCAGCGGUAUUUUGGGGAGCUC
This 179-nucleotide non-coding RNA is filed under the name Spongiibacteraceae bacterium. RNAcentral's name for it is "6S RNA". It matches the Rfam family "6S / SsrS RNA". Rfam says of the family: E. coli 6S RNA was the first non coding RNA to be sequenced, but its function was unknown until recently. It consists of 184 nucleotides that fold into an extended hairpin structure with a large single-stranded internal bulge. The 6S RNA specifically associates with RNA polymerase holoenzyme containing the sigma70 specificity factor. Lineage: Bacteria; Pseudomonadati; Pseudomonadota; Gammaproteobacteria; Cellvibrionales; Spongiibacteraceae. The record is from RNAcentral.